RNAcentral lists this ribosomal RNA (404 nucleotides) under uncultured bacterium. RNAcentral's name for it is "bacterial SSU rRNA". It matches the Rfam family "Bacterial small subunit ribosomal RNA", at positions 355 to 775 of the family's 1533-position model. The record is from RNAcentral.
UAGGGAAUAUUGCUUAAUGGGCGAAAGCCUGAAGCAGCAACGCCGCGUGCACGAUGAAGGUCUUCGGAUCGUAAAGUGCUUUUUUAGAGGAUGAGGAAGGACAGUACUCUAAGAAUAAGCCUCGGCUAACUACGUGCCAGCAGCCGCGGUAAAACGUAGGAGGCGAGCGUUAUCCGGACUUACUGGGCGUAAAGCGUGUGCAGGUGGUUUGGUAAGUUGGAUGUGAAAGCUCCUGGCUUAACUGGGAGAGGUCGUUCAAUACUGCCAGACUUGAGAGUGAGAGAGGGAGGUGGAAUUCCGGGUGUAGUGGUGAAAUGCGUAGAUAUCCGGAGGAACACCAGUGGCGAAAGCGGCCUCCUGGCUCAUUUCUGACACUCAUACACGAAAGCUAGGGUAGCAAACGG